CUGUGCCAGGUGCUGUGAGACAAGCUGCAAGCAACUGCAAGUUAUGAGAACGGUGCCUUGUUGUGCUUAGCAUUUAUUUGUACCGCUCUAUAUAAAUGGCUGUGUGCAGUCAUUAAAUGGCUUGGCUGCUAGAAACCAUAUGAGUGUGUGGCCUCGUCCCUCGCCUCAUCUCAGCUGAUUAUUGCUCUCCAGGGGAUCUCGGACUUGUUGUUUGUCAACAAGAUUCUUCAGGAAUUGUGAAAAUUUCUGGAAAUGAAGAUUUCUUUGAAGGAUUUUUAUCUUAAAAUGGAACAAGGCUGUUUUCACUUAAAGAUUUCCUCAAGAAGCCUAUCAAUAGAGUUACACAUCCAUUACAGCUUUAAAAUUUUGAAGUAAGUCUAAGUGCAUGCAAGCUCAUUUGUUAGACUGGAUGCAACACUGUCAUUAUAUUCAUAAGGUGCCAAAGCACUGAAACAAGUUGCCCAGAGAGUCUGUGGAGUGUUCUUCCCCGGAGAUAUUCAAGAUCUGUUUGGACAUAACCCUGGGUUAGGUGCUCUCUGUGGCCCUGCUUGAGCAUCUGGGGUUGGACCAAAUGAUCUCCAGAGGUCCCUUUCAACCUCAGCCAUUCUGUGAUUCUGUGACUAGAUCAAUAUUUCAUUCUCGAAUUAAUACUCUUUUCUUAGAUAUGCUAUUAUUGUAUUUCUUUACUUUCUAUUCACUUAUACUCUGUUACAAGAUUUAGGCUCUGAUAAAUAGUUUUAUAGCUCUGUUAUUAUGCAAACCAUUUUGAGGUCAUUCGAAGGUAUUUUAUGGGAAAAUUUUGAGAUGUAGUUUAAUCUUUUAAUUUUCAUCAUGUAAAUGCUUAUUCCUACAACAAAGCUUCAUUAUAUCUUUAUAUUUCCCACAUCUUUCAUAACUGUACAUAAAUUCCAAAAAUUAGAGUACAGCUAUAUGAAAUAAGUAAGCUUCUGUGAUGCCUGCUAUUAAAGAAGAACAAGUUUUAAAACUGAACACUUUUGUGUCUCUGAAAUUUAGCUAUCUCAUUCCUUUAAGUCAUUUAUUGUAGAAUACAUUAGAUUGCUUCUUAGGACAUUUGACAGUGCUAAAAUAUUAGCUCAUUUUUGCAGUGCAAAAGUCAACAAACUAUUUCUGUGCAAGUAUGUAAGUCAUCUGUGUUAUUACCAUGUGUUUCAUUUUUAUUAUGAUUGAUGUCAUUGCAAUAAAUACAUGAGCAACCCCUAG
Long non-coding RNA from Gallus gallus (chicken), 1221 nucleotides. Lineage: Eukaryota; Metazoa; Chordata; Aves; Galliformes; Phasianidae. The record is from Ensembl.